CCGUCCCGCCCCCACGGCUCUGCAGCCUGGUACCUGCCACCAUCCAGGCCCAGCCCAGGGCUUUCCAGCACAUCCACUCUGCCCAUGCUCUGCUGCCGUUGAAAGGCAGGUGUCGGGAUUCCUGGUCUCAGAGUGAUGGGCAGGGACCUGGGGGCACCCCAGCGCUGAUGGUGGGGCCUGCCUUGGUCCCCGGUCCCUGGGCAUGGUCGAUCCAAGCCCUGCUCCCCGGAAAGCCAUCCCUGGAUGCCGUGGCUCUGGGCUGCUCCCUCUAGCCCCAGACAUGCCAGCCCCUCUCUGGUGCCUUCAGAGGCCCACAUCCUCCCAGCUGCCAAAGGCCCGGCCGAGCUCUGGCUGGGAAGCCUGGCCCGAUCAGAGUGAACCCAGCCGCUUCCUGGCCCAGCCUGAGGGCCAGUUCUCCCCUCUGCGGCUCUGCCAGGGGCCAGUCUGGCCACCCCUCCUGUGUCUGUGGCCCUCCUCUCCAUCUUCUUCCUUCUGGAGUCCACCUGCCCACUGAAGAGGUCCACGACAGAAUUCGAGAUGACCCCUGACCUGCCCACCCUGGCAUGCCCCUCCAUGUGAAGUGCCCCCACCCAGAGGCUCUCAUUAGAAAUCUGGACCUUCCCGACACCCUGUCCCUCAGUCUGCCCUGUCCACGACGGGUCCGGGGACUGUGGCUACGACCCCACAGGCGUCCACCCCAGGACAAGGUACACGGGUGUGUCCUAAUCUCACCAGGGCUUCCCUUGCCCCAGCCUCCUGUUCUCCCGGGAAGCCAGGCCGCCUGGCCCUCAGGCUCACAGAGUGAGUUCUAAAGCCCCUAACUCAUGAGCAGGGCCCGGCUCCAUCUCGCCCGCUCUCAGCCUCAGAUGGCCAUGACCCUGGGCCCUGGGCCUCUGCACAGGCUGCUCAGGCUGGGAACAUGCCAGCCACACUGCCCUCCACCUUGCUCACUCCUGGUGGUCUCCAGGCCCCUGACCCCCAGCCAGAGGAGGCCCUGCUCGUCGGUAUGUGCCUCUUUCAGCUGGGAAAGAGGGGCUUAUGGGCCGCUCUGUGCGUCCCUGCCUCUGCCUGCCGACCCCUGCACUCCCGGGGCAGGAACCAGCCCAGCCCAUCACAGGGGCUGCUCUCAGCAGUGCCGCCGCUCAGUGGCUGCUUUAGUCUCCAUGGCGGUCACUUCUGGUCCCUCUGUCCAGAUCAGAGGGCUCACAUUUGGGACACUUGUGGUUCUGGAGAAGGUGCAGGUUCUCCAGAGAAGCUGCCUGGAGAAGGUUCAAAAGACACUCUUAUGGGCCUCCAUAGCGCAGUUUCCAGAUGUGGGCUUCCUGGGUCCCUGCUGGCUCAGCUGGUAAAGAAUCCGCCUGCAAUGCAGCAGACCCUGGUUCGACUUCUGGGUCGGAAAGAUCCGCUGGAGAAAGGAUAGGCUACCCACUCCAGUAUUCUGGCCUGAGAAUUCCAUGGACUGUAUAGUCCAUGGGGUCACAAAGAGUCGGACACAACUGGGAGACUUUCACUUCACUUAACUUCCUGGUGGC
RNAcentral lists this long non-coding RNA (1532 nucleotides) under Bos grunniens (domestic yak). RNAcentral describes it as "lncRNA (ENSBGRG00000014953.1)". The record is from RNAcentral. Lineage: Eukaryota; Metazoa; Chordata; Mammalia; Artiodactyla; Bovidae.